CCCGCCCCGGCCCCGCCCCUAGCGCUAGCGCAGGCCACGCCCCCCUCGGCGCCCCGCUGCCCGGGUUGGAGGCUCCCACCCGCGGAAUACCGUGAUGGCUGGGGUGUCAUCCGCGGUGCUGAUCAAUGUUGGUCCUCACGGCUUCAGAAAGCCCCUGGCAGAGACGUGAGCUGGAUUCCCGCUCUGUAUUACAGGCUUCUGCAAUCCCGGCUUUCUGAGACCUGCCCGUUUUCCCUCCUGGAGGGGUUUCCCACUUGUGUUUGCUCUGCACUGUCCUGCAGUGCGGCUCAGGGUAAAUAAAUGGCCGCCUUGCCCUGC
Molecule: long non-coding RNA, 318 nt
Organism: Oryctolagus cuniculus (rabbit)
Lineage: Eukaryota; Metazoa; Chordata; Mammalia; Lagomorpha; Leporidae
Source: RefSeq, a predicted model, not a curated record